RNAcentral lists this non-coding RNA (91 nucleotides) under Desulfotomaculum sp. RNAcentral describes it as "c-di-GMP sequence". It matches the Rfam family "c-di-GMP-I riboswitch aptamer". From Rfam's summary of the family: GEMM was predicted in a large-scale screen for bacterial structured RNA regulatory elements. Genes associated with GEMM are involved in a diverse array of functions, including chemotaxis regulation, signal transduction, secretion and chitin. The record is from RNAcentral. Lineage: Bacteria; Bacillati; Bacillota; Clostridia; Eubacteriales; Desulfotomaculaceae. RNAcentral also lists the same sequence under 1 other name.
CAAAUCCAAAGGCAACCUUUCCGAAAGGGGAGGAGCGCAAAGCCACGGGCCUAAAACGGGUGUGCCCCGUUACGGCGGCCGGGCUGCAUUA